This 378-nucleotide ribosomal RNA is filed under the name uncultured bacterium. RNAcentral describes it as "bacterial SSU rRNA". It matches the Rfam family "Bacterial small subunit ribosomal RNA", at positions 134 to 507 of the family's 1533-position model. The record is from RNAcentral.
UGGUGGGGGAUAACGUUCGGAAACGGACGCUAAUACCGCAUACGUCCUACGGGAGAAAGCGGGGGAUCUUCGGACCUCGCGCCAUUAGAUGAGCCUAGGUCGGAUUAGCUAGUUGGUGAGGUAAUGGCUCACCAAGGCGACGAUCCGUAACUGGUCUGAGAGGAUGAUCAGUCACACUGGAACUGAGACACGGUCCAGACUCCUACGGGAGGCAGCAGUGGGGAAUAUUGGACAAUGGGCGAAAGCCUGAUCCAGCCAUGCCGCGUGUGUGAAGAAGGUCUUCGGAUUGUAAAGCACUUUAAGUUGGGAGGAAGGGUAGUAACCUAAUACGUUGCUACUUUGACGUUACCGACAGAAUAAGCACCGGCUAACUUCGUG